Long non-coding RNA from Oncorhynchus gorbuscha (pink salmon), 752 nucleotides. RefSeq lists it as uncharacterized. The transcript has 3 exons. The record is from RefSeq and is a predicted model, not a curated record. Lineage: Eukaryota; Metazoa; Chordata; Actinopteri; Salmoniformes; Salmonidae.
CAGCUGCAUUUGAAGUGUACAUUUAACUUUCAUAGCAGUCAAUACUAACUGAAAUCUAGUACAAAUGUGUGCAAAUGAUCUUUUUAGAUCUUCUCAGAAAUGAAUAAAGUCCAUAGAAUGGAUAAAGACAAAACGAGAAUUCAAGGACUAGAGGAGGUAGAGAGGUGAGGCGGGGGUGAGGACAUCAUCCUGCUAUUUUGACAGUCCCUGAAGGACAAUACAGAAGAGGACUGGAGACCACAGCAGCGAUUCUACUCUUGCCCUACCUCUUCAAAGAGAACCCAAGAUUCCACCGCUCUUCACUCCUUUCCUGCACAUCGGUGGAAAUCCAUUUCACCAUGAGAGUGAAAUCCCGCUGGCCUUUGAUGGGGAGAACAUCAAUGUCCUCGAGGACGUCCCCAUGGGAUUUGGGGCUCUGCUAGGGCUGUAUUUGUUAUUUUCCCUUAAAUUUACCAAAAAUGUCAGAAAAACACUUAUGUUCUUAAGUUACUGUGUUCUGGGGAGAAGAGAAGUUGGGGUGAAGUUACCAGGGCCGGUCAUAAAGAUGGAAAACUUCCUAACAUAACUAAGUGGAUACGAUAUCCACACUAAAGCUGAAAAAUCUGUAUUUAGCAUAAAGUCUACAAUAUUGUUAGUUUACCUAUGAUUCAGUUUUAUAUAUGUUGUUUUUAUUGUACAUCAUCAUUUCUAUUUGUUUUAAAUGUCAUGAAAAGCACUAUAGAAAGUAAAUGUAUUAUUUAUUAUGGUCUGAC